Molecule: ribosomal RNA, 779 nt
Filed under: Streptomyces griseus
Lineage: Bacteria; Bacillati; Actinomycetota; Actinomycetes; Kitasatosporales; Streptomycetaceae
Also listed under: 1 other name
Description: bacterial SSU rRNA
Rfam family: Bacterial small subunit ribosomal RNA
Source: RNAcentral
GCUCAGGACGAACGCUGGCGGCGUGCUUAACACAUGCAAGUCGAACGAUGAAGCCCUUCGGGGUGGAUUAGUGGCGAACGGGUGAGUAACACGUGGGCAAUCUGCCCUUCACUCUGGGACAAGCCCUGGAAACGGGGUCUAAUACCGGAUAACACUCUGUCCCGCAUGGGACGGGGUUAAAAGCUCCGGCGGUGAAGGAUGAGCCCGCGGCCUAUCAGCUUGUUGGUGGGGUAAUGGCCUACCAAGGCGACGACGGGUAGCCGGCCUGAGAGGGCGACCGGCCACACUGGGACUGAGACACGGCCCAGACUCCUACGGGAGGCAGCAGUGGGGAAUAUUGCACAAUGGGCGAAAGCCUGAUGCAGCGACGCCGCGUGAGGGAUGACGGCCUUCGGGUUGUAAACCUCUUUCAGCAGGGAAGAAGCGAAAGUGACGGUACCUGCAGAAGAAGCGCCGGCUAACUACGUGCCAGCAGCCGCGGUAAUACGUAGGGCGCAAGCGUUGUCCGGAAUUAUUGGGCGUAAAGAGCUCGUAGGCGGCUUGUCACGUCGGAUGUGAAAGCCCGGGGCUUAACCCCGGGUCUGCAUUCGAUACGGGCUAGCUAGAGUGUGGUAGGGGAGAUCGGAAUUCCUGGUGUAGCGGUGAAAUGCGCAGAUAUCAGGAGGAACACCGGUGGCGAAGGCGGAUCUCUGGGCCAUUACUGACGCUGAGGAGCGAAAGCGUGGGGAGCGAACAGGAUUAGAUACCCUGGUAGUCCACGCCGUAAACGUUGGGAACUA